AAAAGGACUGCUAAGGUGCCAGGGGUCACCAAAUCAAAGUUCAUGAAGCAUAUAUAUUUAUAUAUGUAAGUUGAGGAUCAGGUUAGAGUUGCUCACUUCACAGUGGAGACACAAACAGAUAUCUGAGAGGACAGAAAACAACUUAUCAGUCACAUCGAAGGCCAUUGAAAUCAAUUGCCAGAGUUGAUGCCAUGGG
Molecule: long non-coding RNA, 196 nt
Organism: Salvelinus sp. IW2-2015
Lineage: Eukaryota; Metazoa; Chordata; Actinopteri; Salmoniformes; Salmonidae
Source: RefSeq, a predicted model, not a curated record